GUCAGUAUUCUGAAUUGGAAUUCAAUUUCAUUUAGUGAUAAUAUUUAAUUAGCUUUAAAUGAAGUUUUAAUGUUUUUUUUAGUGAAGACAUUAAAUUGUCAGUUAUAUUUGUAAGUUUAAAAGAAUUUUCCUACAGUCUUGAAUUUGAAUUUUUAAUCUUGUAAAUGAAUGCAUUUAAAUCCAUUUGCACCAGUUAUGGGUGAUUUGAAUUUUGAAUCUUGUAAAUGAAUGCAUUUAAAUCUAUGUACCAUUUAUGGGUGGCCAUGAUUGAUGGCGUACAUUCUUGGCCUAGUAGCGGCAAUUUUGUGCCAUUUUGUUGGCUUGUUUAUUGUAUUUAACUUGUUACUUAAAAUUUUUGACAUUAUUUUGAAUAUCAAAGUUUUAUUUUAAUAUUUAUAUUUUAGUACUUAUUAAUUAUAUUCUUAGUAAUUAUUUAGCAUGUUAUAUAUCUAGCCAAAGGGUCUCCCUUUGGUUAUAUAUAUUUUUGUUUUUUAUAUUUAUCUUUUAUUUUUGACGGAUUAUUUUAUAUUUAUUAUUUCAUCCAACUACCUUCUUUUGAAGAAGUUUACUAUUUUAAUAAUUAAUUUAUAAUUAUGUUUCUUGUUAUUAAUGGAUUGUUUUUUGUUUCAUGUAGCGUGAUCUUACAAGUUGAGACGUUUCUCUUUUCGGACAUUAAGUAUUAUUGUCUAAACUUCCGGAGACAUUUUCAUGUUUUUCGGUUAAAUAAUAAGUUUUUUGAAUGAAAGAAACUCCUCGUAGUAUUGUUUUAUCUCAUUGCGGGCAAGUGCAUUUCUAUCACAAUAAAAAUAAGGAAGAAACAUAAAUCUAGUAUUUAACAUAAAAUUAAACUAGAAUUAAAUUAAUCUAGAUUUUGACUUCUAUGUUCCAUAUUGAUUGAUAGUUGUUUCACAAAGACAAAUUAAAAAGCAGCAUCAUAAUAUCAUGCACGGAUACAUAUAUAAAUGUCCAUAUAUAUAUAUAUAUAUAUAUCUCUGUGUGUGUGUGUGUGUGUGUGUGUGUUUAGUUCUGUGAUGCAAAUUGAAGACCGUGUCAAUAUUUCCAAGUGCUAAGGCACCUAGCGUCUAUACAGUGAAGUUUCUUAUGCAUAGACUAUAGAGGCACCAAGUGUGUUUUAGAUGUCAAAAUGGAUAAGUAUGGAAGUACCUGGCACUUGUCACAUACAAACACCUAUAUGUGGUGCCAGGUGAGCGUGGCUGAUGAAAUUCUAAGUAUAUGGAGGACCUGGUGCCUAUACUAUACUGUGCUUGUCUUGGAGAAUCGUCAGAUGAUGGCUUGAAGGAUAUUUGGCUAAGGCAAGGCAGCACCUGGCGCUUGCGACAUACAAACCUAUGUAUGAGGCGCCAUGUGGUGUCAAAGAGGAGAUUUGGCUAAGUAAAGACAAGACUUGACGCUUUUCUCAUACUCUACCAUGUAUGAGGCGCCAGGUGGUGUAAAUUAAUGAGAAUGCUAAGUUAAAUGUAUCCACACAAUUAAAUCCAUGUGUAAGGAAUUAGGUGAAGCAAUGCAUAGCCAUAUACAGUGAAGAAACUUGAAGAACCAUGUCCUCCUAACCAUUGUUAAAUAUGAAGCCUAUAAAUAGAGAAGCCUGUAAAUAGAGAAGCCAACUUCAUUUUUUAAGUUAAGCAACUACAAACAUUGUAUUGUGCACAUACUUUACACACAUAUCCUCUAAGAGCUAAGACAGUUAAUCAAUAGACUAGACGAGAGUAUUUCUAUAGAGUGUAACACUUAGUCUUGUAGCCGACUUACGAGUUGGAUUUAUAGUACCCUCCAAAUUAAUAUAUCGAACGAUAAAUUACCCCGAACUUACUAGUUUAUUCAUUUUGAUUGAAUACAAACUAUAAUGAACAUGUCGUAAAUCAAAUUGAAUUGAACGAAAUGGAUAAUUUGGUAAAGACAUAUUCAAACCCCCUCUUAUACGUCUAUUUGGACCUAACAAUUGGUAUCAAAGCUACGUUGAUCGACAUACAGAUUUGAGAUCCAUAAUAGCCAUAAAGCUAUUUCUACACUUAAUCGAAAAAUAUGUCUACACACAUUUUAGGAAUCAAGGUACCUCUAUUCGAAAAGGAUGACUAUAGAAAUUGGAAAAUGAAGAUGAUCUUUUAUGUGAGAGCUACUAAUCCCCUGCACAUUAGGAUUUUAAAAAAUGCUCCACAUGUACAAAUGAAGAUUAUACCUGAAUCUGAUGAAAACGGAGUUCACACACAUCAGAAAUCUGUUCCAAAGAAAAAGAGAUAAUUCACUAAAACCGACAAGGAAUACAUUGCCCAUGACUAUAAUCUGCAACUCAUCAUAGUCGAGGCAAUGAACAAAACAGUGUCCCACCUGAUACUGAGCUUGAAAUCUGCAAAGCAAAUGUGAGAUGCUGUUGAAGCAUUGAUGGAUGGAUCUGUAGCUUUCAGAACAUAUCCAUUUUCACUUUCCAAGUAGGAUAUUCAGAUGCCUUUAAUAUAGGAAUAGUAUAGUAGAUUCGUAUCUACUGGUUGUUGGAUUUUGUGUUUUCUCAGUCGUGAUUAUAUAUCUUUUUAGAUCUUAACUGUUGUAUUAUAACAGAUUGGCUCUGAUACCAAUUGUUAGGUCUAGAAUCACUAUAGAAGAGGGGUUGAGUAUAGUUGGAUACAUUCAAAUCGAACUUAGAGUACAAUAUAAAAUAAAAAUCAGCUUUUAUUCAAUAUAUAAAAACUGAUACAGUAGAAGAACAACUACUCUCUUAGUGAUGUAUGUUUAUCACUAAGAGUUGCAAGGUUACAAAGAACAAUAUUGUCAAUAUUUAAUAACACAGUGGUGUAAAACGAAGUUAUGUUUAUAUAGUACACAGUUAGAUGAUAUCUAAUAAUUGAUAUAAUACUAAUUUUAUUUCUAAAAGAUAUCAGUCAGAGAUUCCUAUACUAAUCUUCCUAAACUCCUGAACUGUCGUAUCUCUAUAGAAUAUAUCUGCUUUAAAUCAUCCAGAUUCGCUCUUGAAAAUCACCCACCUAUAAACUCUGAGAAAUUUCUUCCUUGAAUAAACUCUGAUUUCUCCUUGUCUUCAGCAAUCUCUGACUCCCAGUUGAAGUCUAACAUGCAUUACCUGUAACUCAUCAAAGCAGUUAAGCCUGAUAUCAUCAAAUAUCUAAAAUAUCUUUCUAAAUUCAUAUUCUCUAUUAUUUAAUUUAUUAAUGGAAGUACCAUUUUACCCCACUCCCUCCCUCUCUCAUCUCUCUCCUGCCUCUCGUCGUCGCUGGUCGGAUUUCGUUCCGAUGUCUCUCCCCCUCCCCCUCUCUCCUACCUCUCGUAUUCACUACAGAUGAUUAUUACAUGAUUCAUAGCUUCAUUUAUUAGUGGAUUAUAUGUUGUCCCACAAUGUAUACAUGCAAGCUUAGGUGAUAUCUUUCCUUCUAAGAUUAAAGAUUUUUUGGAAAAUCGGUGACUUUAAAAGUUCAGAUCAUGUCUGAUAAUGUUUUGCUCAACAACAAUAUCUUCCUUGCGACGGAUGAUUUUGACUAUGUUUUUGAUGGAUCGACGAGCUUCGAUAGUUCAGCUAUUAAUCUUACCAAUUCCAGGUUUGAUGACGUAAGUCUUAUAAAUUAUUCAGUCUUCGAGAUGUUUAGCCAGUUUGAAUCAAAGUAAUUGACUAACUUUCAAAUUAAAUCAAAUUUUAUGGAGGAAAGCUGUUGAAAUUAUUUAGAGUGGUGAAACACCUGUUUCUGAAAAGUCAUGCACGAAAAAAAAUUAAGAUGAAGCCUUGAAGCCAGUUCACGUUUCCUUGAUUUAUGCCUUUCAUACCUUGCAGAUGUUGCACUGCUGGUUUCCUGAUUAUCAAUUACUACUACUAUCUGAAAUGUCUUUGAGCGACAUUGUACAACUCUUCUUUAAUGUACUUUAUUGGUUUGUUUGAA
Daucus carota subsp. sativus is the source of this 3899-nucleotide long non-coding RNA. RefSeq lists it as uncharacterized. The record is from RefSeq and is a predicted model, not a curated record. The transcript is spliced from 2 exons. Lineage: Eukaryota; Viridiplantae; Streptophyta; Magnoliopsida; Apiales; Apiaceae.